UCUUUUGGUCACAUGACAGUGAAGCUAUUGAAGGAAAACAGCCUUUUCUGAGAACAUCAACCGGUAAUUUAUUGACGGUCCCUUAUUCAACACCGACGUUGACAGUGAGGGUGUCGAGUAGAUUUAACCGCGCUGCUGUUGUUAUUCCCGGUUAUGGAGAGAGAGAAGACACCGGUAGAUCCUCAGAGAAUGUCCGUCAGAUAUCCAACCUAAAACUAACUUCACCGCCGUAUUUACAGGAAAAUAUAUCCAACCUGAAACUAACUUCACCACAGUAUUUACAGGAAAAUAUAUCCAACCUGAAACUAACUUCACCGCCGUAUUUACAGGAAAAUAUAUCCAACCUAAAACUAACUUCACCGCCGUAUUUACAGGAAAAUAUAUCCAACCUAAAACUAACUUCACCGCCGUAUUUACAGGAGAAUAUAUCCAACCUAAAACUAACUUCACCGCCGUAUUUACAGGAAAAUAUAUCCAACCUGAAACUAACUUCACCGCCGUAUUUACAGGAAAAUAUAUCCAACCUGAAACUAACUUCACCGCCGUAUUUACAGGAAAAUAUAUCCAACCUGAAACUAACUUCACCGCCGUAUUUACAGGAAAAUAUAUCCAACCUAAAACUAACUUCACCGCCGUAUUUACAGGAAAAUAUAUCCAACCUAAAACUAACUUCACCGCCGUAUUUACAGGAGAAUAUAUCCAACCUAAAACUAACUUCACCGCCGUAUUUACAGGAAAAUAUAUCCAACCUGAAACUAACUUCACCGCCGUAUUUACAGGAAAAUAUAUCCAACCUGAAACUAACUUCACCGCUGUAUUUACAGGAAAAUAUAUCCAACCUAAAACUAACUUCACCGCCGUAUUUACAGGAAAAUAUAUCCAACCUAAAACUAACUUCACCGCCGUAUUUACAGGAGAAUAUAUCCAACCUAAAACUAACUUCACCGCCGUAUUUACAGGAAAAUAUAUCCAACCUGAAACUAACUUCACCGCCGUAUUUACAGGAAAAUAUAUCCAACCUGAAACUAACUUCACCGCCGUA
This is a non-coding RNA of Xyrichtys novacula (pearly razorfish), 1042 nucleotides long. Lineage: Eukaryota; Metazoa; Chordata; Actinopteri; Labriformes; Labridae. The record is from the annotation of a GenBank genome assembly.